This 200-nucleotide ribosomal RNA is filed under the name uncultured bacterium. Its description in RNAcentral is "partial 16S ribosomal RNA". It matches the Rfam family "Bacterial small subunit ribosomal RNA", at positions 1303 to 1500 of the family's 1533-position model. The record is from RNAcentral.
GGCUGAAAUUCGCCUUCCAUGAAGCUGGAAUUGCUAGUAAUGGCAGGUCAGCAUACUGCCGUGAAUACGUUCCCGGGCCCUUGUACACACCGCCCGUCACACCAUGAGAGUUGGGAAUACCCGAAGCCUGUGAGCUAACUGUAAGGAGGCAGCAGUCGAAGGUAGAAUCAAUGAUUGGGGUGAAGUCGUAACAAGGUAGC